GGCGCGAAGCGCCUUUCGGGGCGGCGAGGCCCCCGGAGUUCACUGCUGUCUGUCAGUCAGUCAGUCAGCUCAAUUCAUAGUUCAGCGUGGCAUGCGAGUUCGUCAUGAGACACGACGCUGACUGCAUUUAAAAGCUACUACAAAUUCUAUCGAUUCACCGAAGAAAUUCAUUCACUGUGCGCGAAGUAGCUUCCCGCGGGCCACACUGCUCGCGGCCUCGCACCGCUCAACUGAGAAUUGCAUCUAUAAGCUUCUACAUUCCUCCAUCGACCACCAACGAAUUAAUUCACAAACAUCUGUGCGGAAAAAUAGCUUUCCGCGGCGUUGGCUUCCCAGACGCCAAAGGGCCCCGGCCUCAAAACGCAUCCUCAACGCGCCAUCGCGAGUCCCAUACCAACCAGUAGUGCGCGAACCCAGCCCAUUGCUAGUCGAUCUGGAGAACAUGACAUUUUGAAGUGUUCGUGAGACAGAGUAAAAGGCAAGAUGGAAAAUGCUGGAGCAGUUGGCAUGGAUUACAGCCAUGGGCCGCGGAAUGCUAUCUUCGCGCACAGAUUUAUGUGAAUUAAUUUCUUCGGUGAAUCGAUAGUGAAUUGUAGCUACGAAAUAUAGUAGUUAUUCAAUCUAGUAGCUAUCAAAUGCAAACCUUAGUUAAUUGCGGCAUGCGAGUUCAUCAUGAGACACGCACGACGCUAACUGACUGACUGAUUAACGGACGGACGGACAGGAGUGAACCCCGGUUCGGUUACCGGGUCAUUAUCUCGGAAUGUUGGUUAUCCUACCGAAGCUAACCGGCCGGUUACCGACCCUUUUAUGCCAUAGGGGUGCGGUGUGCGGUGCACGCUGCGGUGCACGCUGCAUCUGCUCAUGCUGCUUUGAUUGCUGUGCGGCCGCGCGGUUUCCUCGCUCUUUCCUUGGACUUCCCUGGAACAGCUAUUUAUGGCUCAGCUCCGCAACUCCAGCCCUUAUAAUGCCGACUGCUC
RNAcentral lists this long non-coding RNA (980 nucleotides) under Volvox carteri. RNAcentral's name for it is "long non-coding RNA (VCAR_LNC000401)". Lineage: Eukaryota; Viridiplantae; Chlorophyta; Chlorophyceae; Chlamydomonadales; Volvocaceae. The record is from RNAcentral.